UUUUAGUUUAGUGGCGGACGGGUGAGUAACGCGUGGGUAACCUGCCCUAUACAGGGGGAUAACAGUUGGAAACGACUGUUAAUACCGCAUAAGCGCACAGGAGCGCAUGCUCCGGUGUGAAAAACUCCGGUGGUAUAGGAUGGACCCGCGUCUGAUUAGCUGGUUGGCGGGGUAACGGCCCACCAAGGCGACGAUCAGUAGCCGGCCUGAGAGGGUGAACGGCCACAUUGGGACUGAGACACGGCCCAAACUCCUACGGAAGGCAGCAG
RNAcentral lists this ribosomal RNA (269 nucleotides) under uncultured bacterium. RNAcentral describes it as "partial 16S ribosomal RNA". It matches the Rfam family "Bacterial small subunit ribosomal RNA", at positions 85 to 354 of the family's 1533-position model. The record is from RNAcentral.